UAGGGAAUCUUCCGCAAUGGGCGAAAGCUUGACGGAGCAACGCCGCGUGAGUGAUGAAGGUCUUCGGAUCGUAAAACUCUGUUAUUAGGGAAGAACAAAUGUGUAAGUAACUAUGCACGUCUUGACGGUACCUAAUCAGAAAGCCACGGCUAACUACGUGCCAGCAGCCGCGGUAAUACGUAGGUGGCAAGCGUUAUCCGGAAUUAUUGGGCGUAAAGCGCGCGUAGGCGGUUUUUUAAGUCUUAUGUGAAAGCCCACGGCUCAACCGUGGAGGGUCAUUGGAAACUGGAAAACUUGAGUGCAGAAGAGGAAAGUGGAAUUCCAUGUGUAGCGGUGAAAUGCGCAGAGAUAUGGAGGAACACCAGUGGCGAAGGCGACUUUCUGGUCUGUAACUGACGCUGAUGUGCGAAAGCGUGGGGAUCAAACAGG
Molecule: ribosomal RNA, 429 nt
Filed under: Actinomycetes bacterium
Lineage: Bacteria; Bacillati; Actinomycetota; Actinomycetes
Description: Actinobacteria bacterium partial 16S ribosomal RNA
Rfam family: Bacterial small subunit ribosomal RNA
Source: RNAcentral